UUGUUUGUUUGAUAGUUCACAUUAGUGGCCGAUAUCAGACUCCAGUGUGAACUGUCCGCGGCCUGAAUGUGACCCCCAUGUGCAGUGGAACAACACAAUGUCACAAGCAGUAGCAGCUGUUCCAGGCUACAGAAGUAAACAAGGAGCAACAGAGGUUAGGUUAGCUCAGGAUGCCUCCAGUUUUACACACAUUUGGAUUUUUACUGCUUGUGCUUUCAAGCAAAGUGGAGAGUGUUACCUUUAAACAGUCCUCUUCUCAAGUUGUGAAUGAAGGGACUGAGGAACUCAGGAUUACCUGCAGUCAUGAUGACAGCAGUCUCCAAGUUAUGCUGUGGUACCAACACAAACAGAGCAGCCGGUCUAUGAGCCUCAUUGGAUACACAGUCCUCACAGGUGAACCAAGCUACGAGGACCAGUUUAAAAGCUCCAGAUUCCAAAUAAAAGGAGAAGACACAGGGAGUGGAUAUCUGAUCAUUAGCAUGGUGAAUCUGUCAGACUCAGCUGUGUAUUUCUGCGCUGCCAGCACACAGUGAUGUGGUUUAAUGGCACUGCUUCACUAAAAACCUGCUCCGACAUGGAAACUAAUAACAGCUGUUACUCAGGGGUUUAGUUAUUUGAGAACUGAAAGUAUUAUGCUGUUAAUUGGGGCAUGAUUUAUUUAUAGUAUUACUAAUAAAUGGUA
Micropterus dolomieu (smallmouth bass) is the source of this 682-nucleotide long non-coding RNA. RefSeq lists it as uncharacterized. The transcript has 3 exons. The record is from RefSeq and is a predicted model, not a curated record. Lineage: Eukaryota; Metazoa; Chordata; Actinopteri; Centrarchiformes; Centrarchidae.